UUACCAGACUCCUACGGGAGGCAGCAGUGGGGAAUAUUGCACAAUGGGGGAAACCCUGAUGCAGCGACGCCGCGUGAGUGAGGAAGUAUUUCGGUAUGUAAAGCUCUAUCAGCAGGGAAGAAAAUGACGGUACCUGACUAAGAAGCCCCGGCUAACUACGUGCCAGCAGCCGCGGUAAUACGUAGGGGGCAAGCGUUAUCCGGAUUUACUGGGUGUAAAGGGAGCGUAGACGGAAUAGCAAGUCUGAUGUGAAAACCCGGGGCUCAACUCCGGGAGUGCAUUGGAAACUGUUGGUCUUGAGUAUCGGAGAGGCAGGCGGAAUUCCUAGUGUAGCGGUGAGAUGCGUAGAUAUUAGGAGGAACACCAGUGGCGAAGGCGGCCUGCUGGACGACAACUGACGGUGAGGCGCGAAAGCGUGGGGAGCAAACAGGAUUAGAUACCCCCGUA
Molecule: ribosomal RNA, 447 nt
Filed under: uncultured bacterium
Lineage: Bacteria
Description: bacterial SSU rRNA
Rfam family: Bacterial small subunit ribosomal RNA
Source: RNAcentral